GACGAACGCUGGCGGCGUGCUUAACACAUGCAAGUCGAACGGAAAGGCCCUGCGUUUGUGGGGUGCUCGAGUGGCGAACGGGUGAGUAACACGUGAGUAACCUGCCCUUGACUUUGGGAUAACUUCAGGAAACUGGGGCUAAUACCGGAUAGGAGCUCCUGCUGCAUGGUGGGGGUUGGAAAGUUUCGGCGGGUGGGGAUGGACUCGCGGCUUAUCAGCUUGUUGGUGGGGUAGUGGCUGACCCAGGCUUUGACGGGUAGCCGGCCUGAGAGGGUGACCGGCCACAUUGGGACUGAGCUACGGCCCAGACUCCUACGGGAGGCAGCAGUGGGGAAUAUUGCACAAUGGGCCGAAGCCUGAUGCAGCAACGCCGCGUGCGGGAUGACGGCCUUCGGGUUGUAAACCGCUUUCGCCUGUGACGAAGCGUGAGUGACGGUAAUGGGUAAAGAAGCACCGGCUAACUACGUG
RNAcentral lists this ribosomal RNA (468 nucleotides) under uncultured bacterium. Its description in RNAcentral is "partial 16S ribosomal RNA". It matches the Rfam family "Bacterial small subunit ribosomal RNA", at positions 28 to 507 of the family's 1533-position model. The record is from RNAcentral.